Molecule: long non-coding RNA, 2672 nt
Organism: Arachis duranensis
Lineage: Eukaryota; Viridiplantae; Streptophyta; Magnoliopsida; Fabales; Fabaceae
Exons: 4
Source: RefSeq, a predicted model, not a curated record
UCCUCUUUUCAGUAACCAUUUCUUCUCUUUCAACCAUAAUAUUGAACACCAGUAGUGAGUAUUUGAUUGUUCUUCUACUGUAUAUUUUCUCCUGCAAUUUCUUUAUUGUUACUUAGGUUUGUUGUGAUGAAGUUAUUGCAAUUGUUUAUUGUUAGCAUUAUAUUUUGCUAUAAUUUAUUAUAUUGAUUAUAUCCUCAAGUUCUCUUUGCUGUUUUUUUCUUUACACUCUCUUAUUUCCUUUUAACUUUAUUAGCGCUCAACAUGUUCGAUGAAAUGCUUCAACUGAAUUUGCUUAGGUUUGUGUGCAGAGUGAGCUACUUGUUAAUAUUUACAUAAAAUAUUUUCCUCUUCUUCUUUUUAUAUUUAUGUGAUAUGCUUUUUUAAUUUGAUAUUCAUUCUUCUACUUGUAGAAUAAGCACAAUGCUCUUUACGAGUGCAGGAAUAUCAACUUCUUGUUGUAUACCUGAUUUUAGAGGUCCUAAGAGAAUUUGGACACUUUAGGUAAUUAUUUUGAAUCUUGCAAAUGCUUAUUCUCUGAUGAAAUUAAGUUUUUAUUCCCAUGGUUUAUCCUAAUUCCUAGCCUAGUUACUUGGAUUUGUUUUGAACCUGAGAUUGCCAAAGGGAAACAUGUUCCUACACUAUAUGUUGAAUUUGAAAUCAAACCCAAAAUUUUAUGUUAAAUGUAGGUUUUUCUACUGAAGAGUCAUAAAGUACUAUGAUAAUUGAUAUUGUUGGACAAAGCUAUUAAAAAUUAAGUCAGAUGCUGCUAUCAUUUGCAAUGCACUCAUUUCUUAUAAAGAAUUUUCAGCUUUCUCCUGUUAAGUAGAAGCAACAUAAUCUCCAAGUACUUUCGUGACUUUGAGGUAGAAACUAUUGGUUUAAAGGAGACAUCACGAUUCUGUUCAGAUGAAAAAUAUGGAGCAAGACUCGGGGAUACAGUCCUUGACUGGGAGGUGAGUGAUGCUAUGGCAACAUUAGCUGGAGCAGAAUAUUGGGACAAUGAUGUUGCUGUUGCUAUCAUUUGAGGUAUCGAAACUAAUGCCUACUAUGUUGAGCAAAUUGAUGGCAUUCCUAAGUUACAAGGUGGUGUCUCCUCUUCUAGAAAAAUGCCAGCAAGCAUAACUUGUAACUGUGUCUUCUUCUCCUCCCAGUUUGAUGAUGGGCUUGGUUUUGACAUUUCAUCGGCAUCAUACGCUAAAUCACAGGUGAGUAUAUUUUUCUUUGUGAAUUGAAUUUUAUGCCUAGUUAGGAUCCUAGUUCUAAUUGAGUGCAUGAGAAGAUAAUCCUAGUUCCAUAUGUAAUGUGCUGCAUAUCAAAGGUGGUUGCUAUAUGUAUUUUGUAAAAACCAUCAUUCUAAUACAAACGAAGAUGAUCUCAUAGAUAUUAAUCAGUACAGAGUAAUCUCUAUAUUUCAAGUACAUUUAGAAACUUUUUUUAUUUUUAUAUUCUUUUACUUAAUAAACUAUCUAUACAAUAAAAGUAGUCGAAUAAGAAUAUAAAAUAUUUUAUAGUAUAUAUCAAAAUUAAAUUCGUUUACCAAAGUAUUGAAAGAGAAUCCAGAUAUGGUGGCAAGAAAACUGCAUAAAGAUAUAUAAAUUCAUAACACGUGACAAAAAAAAACAAUUAUUAUUGUUAACAUAGAUGGAAAAAAAGAAGAAAAAAGUAGUAAGUAGUAAGAGAGGAAGCAAGGUAAGGAGUUAGUGAUGGGCGUGUUGAGAAAGUGAAGAAGCAAUGAUGGGUGCACACGUGGGAAUCAUAUCACCUUCCACCUUCUUGCCUCGAUUUCCUCCAACUUCUUUAAUCAAAACCAAAAUCAAAAUCAACACAUCACCUGGUAAGUAUUAAUCAAAUUUCAUCUCAUACACUUUGUUAUUGCAAUUUAUAUAUUUAUUUAGUCUCACACUCAGUUCUACUACUUUCUGUGUAGCUAAAUUGCUUUGCUUCUUUCUAUCCAAUUUGUUUCUUAGGUUUGGCAUUUUGGCAUUUUUCCCUUCAAAGAUUAAGUAGCCUUUUGGCAUUUUUCUCACUGUUACAACUCUUACUGUAUACAUACCCAAGCAUAGUUUAGUUGUUGAUGAAGCCCCCAAAUAUUUAAUCUUUUGCUGAUAACUACUACUUCUUGCUCUUGGAUUAUUUUCAUAGUUUAAUUUCUGCUUGAGCUGCUCUUUCUAUUAGGAUUAUUCUUAAGUUAUUUUCUUUAUACUUUAUCAGUUUUUAUGAUCUGGUCUUGUUUUGUUCGCUGUGUUGGAUACUGUAGCUGAAAUUACUCGUGAUAAAGCAAAGAAAAAUGAUACACAUGAGGGAAAUAAUUAAUCUAUCAAUAAUUACAAGAAUGAUAAUUAAUCUAUCAAUAAUUAAUAAAUAAUUAUAAUUUUUUUUUUGGAAUGCAGAAUUUGAUUUUAACUCCAUUAUUCUUUUCCUUUGUUUCUUUCCCAGGAAACUCUAAUAUAGAACCAAUUUCUUGGAACACUCGUCUCAAAAUAGCUAUUGAUGCUGCUAGAGGCUUGGGUUUUUUGCACACUUCAGAAAGCAAGUUAUAUAUAGAGAAUUUAAGACCUCCAAUAUAUUAUUAGAUUUUGUCGAUUAUGACUAUGUAAAACAUAUAGAAUUCAACUUUUGAAAUAUUAUGACUGUUUGGCAAUAGCUAAUUAUGUUGUUUCUAUUUUUGUAAA